GGAAGAGAUCGUUCCCCGGUGGGGCGCCCGGUCUUCAAAACCGGGAGGGGCCGCCACGCGGCCCCUGGUAGGUUCGACUCCUGCUCUCUUCCGCCA
This 96-nucleotide transfer RNA is filed under the name Thiobacillus sp. Its description in RNAcentral is "tRNA-Sec". It matches the Rfam family "Selenocysteine transfer RNA". Lineage: Bacteria; Pseudomonadati; Pseudomonadota; Betaproteobacteria; Nitrosomonadales; Thiobacillaceae. The record is from RNAcentral.